Molecule: ribosomal RNA, 1252 nt
Filed under: candidate division WS6 bacterium GW2011_GWB1_33_6
Lineage: Bacteria
Description: bacterial LSU rRNA
Rfam family: Bacterial large subunit ribosomal RNA
Source: RNAcentral
CAGGUGAAAACCCUGUUCGCCGAAUGUCUAAGGUUUCCAUGGCUAUGGCAGUCAACCAUGGGUUAGUCGGUCCUAAGGAGAGGCCGAAAGGCGUAUCCGAUGGAUAACAGGUCAAUAUUCCUGUACCGCUAAUAUCUGUGAUGGAGAUCGUGAAUUGGGAAAGCAGGCCCCUUAAUGGUUUGGGGUGUAAGCAAUAAGUUAGUUUCUUCAGGUAAAUCCGAAGAAACGUUUCUACUUCGGUAGAUGAACACGAGUUGCGAUGCAAAGGUGACCCUCGGGAAGCCGAUCUGUUGUACUAAUUUUUCUGGAAAAACUUCUAGCGAGUCUACCUUCGGGUGGACUCAAGGAUAUUAGUGACCGUACCGCAAACCGACACUGGUGGACUGGUGUAAAUGCACCAAGGCGUACGAGUUAUGCGUCGUUAAGGAACUCGGCAAAUUAACCCCGUAAGUUCGCGAGAAGGGGGGCCUUCUACUAUGAUUUUUAAUUGUAGUAAUGAAGGCGGCACAGAAUAGGGAGGAGCGACUAGUUACCAAAACUACAGGCGCUUGCAAAUUCGUAAGAAGAUGUAUAAGUGCUGACGCCUGCCCAAUGCCAGAAGGUUAAGGAAGUUUGUUAAUCGUCUGUUAGACGCACUUCGGUGGUGGUGAAGCGGAUAACCGAAGCCCUGGUCAAUGGCGGCUGUAACUAUAACGGUCCUAAGGUAGCGUAAUACCUCGUCACUUAAUUAGUGACUUGCAUGAAAGGCGUAACGACUCUUCCGCUGUCUCGACGGCGCGCUCGGUGAAAUUGAAAUGGCUGUGAAGAUGCGGCCUACCCAUACCAGGACAAAAAGACCCCGUGGAGCUUUACUGCAGCUUUGCAUUGAAAUAAUGCUUUGAAUGAAGAGAAUAGGUGGGAGACUUUGAAGCCGUUUCGUCAGGAAUGGUGGAGUCGAAAUAUGUAAUACCACUCUUUUGACGUGUUAUUUCUAACUUUAUCCUUAAUCAGGAAUACGGACAGUGCAUGGUAGGCAGUUUGACUGGGGCGGUUGCUUGCUAAAGAGUACCGCAAGCGCACAAAGGUAUCCUCAACCCGGAUGGAAAUCGGGUGAAGAGUGCAUGAGCAUAAGGAUGCUUUACUGUGAGGGAGACAUCCCGAGCAGUUACGAAAGUAGGUUCAAGUGACCCUUUCGCAGAAUGUGGAAUCGCGAUUGUUUAACGGAGAUAAGCUACCCCGGGGAUAACAGGCUAGUGGUGCCCGAUAGUUCAUA